AAAAAAAAAAAAAAAAAAGAAAGAAGCAGGACUGGUGACAGGACAGGAGAGCCACAGCCUCAGGGAAAAUCUUGAGGUGAGCUGUACAGCAGAGGGCAGAUGAGAUGCUGGCAGAGAAUUUCAGAACUCCUCAUAAAAUAUACGGUUUUUCCUUGGCAGCAGAUCCAAACUCCAAGUGGCUGAGACACCUGAUACCACCCCCAGCCCUGCUGAUUGGGUCAAGCCUAGCAAGGUCCUAUACACAUGUUCACUCUGACCAAUAAGUCAGGCUCGUUCUAGGCUCUAAGGAAACCUUGACCUGCCCCUACAACUGCAGGAAGGAAAGCCUGAAGGCAGGUGACAUUAGAAACAGCCACCAUGACAUCAUGCAGAAACCAGAACUUGUAACCAGCUUUCUUUUUCAGGUUCCCUUGAAAGAGUUUUCAUCUGAUUUCUUUUCUUUUUUUUUUUCAAGAGGCGGGCUCUCACUCUCUUAUCCAGGCUGGGGUGCAAUGGUGUAACCAUGGCUCAUUGCAGCCUUGAACUCCUGGGCUCAAGCGAUCCUCCUGCCUUGGCCUCCCGAGUCACUCGGAUUAUAGGAGCCCACUACCACACCUGGCCAUUUUCAUCUGAUUUCUAACUGCCUCUUUCUUCCGUAAAAUACAAUCUGAUUCAGAAGCAUAUUGUCUGCAGGGAGUGGGGUACAUAAACCCCCAAAACACAGUAGGAGAGUCUUGCUUAGGAGUACCCAGCAGCCUUUCCCCUAAUGCUUUUACAUUAAGAUGGUUUCAAUUAAUCUUCAAGUGGUUUCAUUUUAUGAAAGGUGAUAUAACUUUCUAGGAUGUAAGGAGAAGUAUAUUGGGUUCCACUCAUACUCUCAUGCCCAGAGUGAAUACAGGCCCAAGCAGGCUGGGCUUUUUUUUUUGAAACGGAGUUUCGCUCCGUUGCCCAGGCUGGAGUGCAGUGGCACAAUCUCAGCUCACUGCAACCUCCGCCUCCCAGGUUCAAGCAAUUCUCCUGCCUCAGCCUCCCGAGUA
This 1016-nucleotide long non-coding RNA is filed under the name Homo sapiens (human). RNAcentral describes it as "HSALNT0219007". Lineage: Eukaryota; Metazoa; Chordata; Mammalia; Primates; Hominidae. The record is from RNAcentral.